UAAAUAAAUAAUAUAUAAAUAAUAAUUAUUGUGGUAAAUAAUGUUGUGUUUCAUAAAUUAUUACCGUGUUUAGUUUGUGGUUAAAUUUUCGAAAUGUAAAUAUACAUAAGUACUUGUAAACUGAUCAGCUGAUCAGCUGAUUAUUUUAGUGUGCGUACAAAUUUUGGAAACCUCGAUGGGAUCUAGGGCAUCUGGAGCUAUUCAAGAAGAAUUUUUACGUUCCCAGUGACACAGUUUCAAAUCGCAACCCACGUUUUAUCAAGCAAUAUAGAAGCGAAAAGGAGAUAAAUCUUCGUGGAAUAUUAUACCUAAUCCAUUUUUUUUCAUUUUUGAAGAGGCCGGAUUUCUGAAUUACGUUAUAAAAUAAGUUGCAGAUGACGUUAGUCACACAUCUUGUAUAUGGAAUACUUGUUUGUACGGCAGAGCACCGAAAAGUUCACAGGCCAGAGAUCCUACAGCGGAGUGGAGAUUGUCAUCGCUACUCCAGGAAGAUUGCUAGAUUUUCCUGGAGUUUAUUAGAUUGUAACAAAACGUAGAGUAGAUAAAAUAACGA
Cotesia glomerata is the source of this 553-nucleotide long non-coding RNA. RefSeq lists it as uncharacterized. The transcript has 3 exons. NCBI's taxonomy places the organism in Eukaryota, Metazoa, Arthropoda, Insecta, Hymenoptera, Braconidae. The record is from RefSeq and is a predicted model, not a curated record.